ACCAGUUGUCACGCCAGUGGCACAGUUGGGCAACUAUGUGCGGAACGGAUAAACGCUGAAAGCAUCUAAGCGUGAAGCCGCCUCCGAGAUUAGAUAUCCCAUGGCGUAAGCCAGUAAGACCCCUUGUAGACUACAAGGUUGAUAGGCUGCGUGUGUAAGCACGGUAACGUGUUCAGCUUGGCAGUACUAAUAGGUCGAGGGCUUGACCAU
Molecule: ribosomal RNA, 210 nt
Filed under: Candidatus Ruminococcus gallistercoris
Lineage: Bacteria; Bacillati; Bacillota; Clostridia; Eubacteriales; Oscillospiraceae
Description: partial 23S ribosomal RNA
Rfam family: Bacterial large subunit ribosomal RNA
Source: RNAcentral